This 253-nucleotide ribosomal RNA is filed under the name uncultured bacterium. Its description in RNAcentral is "partial 16S ribosomal RNA". It matches the Rfam family "Bacterial small subunit ribosomal RNA", at positions 524 to 776 of the family's 1533-position model. The record is from RNAcentral.
UACGUAGGGUGCAAGCGUUGUCCGGAAUUACUGGGCGUAAAGCGCGUGUAGGCGGACUUGCAAGUCAGAUGUGAAAUCCCCGAGCUCAACUCGGGAACUGCAUUUGAAACUGCCUGUCUUGAGUAGUGGAGAGGAAAGCAGAAUUCCUGGUGUAGAGGUGAAAUUCGUAGAUAUCAGGAGGAACACCGGUGGCGAAGGCGGCUUUCUGGACACUUACUGACGCUGAGACGCGAAAGCGUGGGGAGCAAACAGG